Molecule: transfer RNA, 69 nt
Filed under: Camelus bactrianus (Bactrian camel)
Lineage: Eukaryota; Metazoa; Chordata; Mammalia; Artiodactyla; Camelidae
Also listed under: 2 other names
Rfam family: tRNA
About the family: Transfer RNA (tRNA) molecules are approximately 80 nucleotides in length.
Source: Rfam by way of RNAcentral
GGCAUAGCUCAGUGGUAGGGCGCAUGCCUAGCAUGUAUGAGGUCCUGGGUUCAAUCCCCAGUACUGCCA